AUUCAAAUCAAGGAGUAACUGAUUUGAUUUUGGUAGCCCAAGGUCAAAGGUUAAGCUUUGUAUGAUCCUCCCUCUUUUAGCCACAGGAAACUAUCUGCACAUCCUGAAGUUCAUCGUUCCUGCUCUACUUGUCCUGAUGAUCAUCAUUUUAAUCGUCGUAGUUUUAAGAUUCAGGAGGAAAAAAUCUAUUCAACAAGGAACAACAAACACCAAAUCCCAUUCUGUUUCUUCGGUAAUGACACAUUUGUUAAAGCCAUUCUACUUCUUUAUUGAAAACAUCUGGACAGAAAUGACCCAUCUUGUUUGUUUGUGUGUGUGUGUUAAAAAUUGUUUAAAUCAUAGUGUCUGGUCAUGGUGGCCUUUUGUCAGAACAUUGUCUUAGUACAAUAGAUUUUUUUAAUUAUUUCACUACCAGUCGUUGAAAUUUCUAAAUCUAUUUCUAAUUGGCUGUUUGUAUAUUGGAAAUCACAGGAAAUAGUGAUUAUGGAGAGUACAGGUAUAAGAUUCAGGAUAUUUAAGCCUCUGCUUCAUCACUUCUGACCUGUUACAGCUGUAAAACUACUGAUUCUUGUAUAUACUCUAAAUUAUGUAAUAAUUUCAAUAUUAUGUUAUCAAAUAUGUUUUAAAGGAGAUAUUACAAAGCCUGCAAAGUCCCAGAAUGUGUUAUUUGUUUUAUUUGAGAACACACGAUGCAGGGAUCUGAAACAAGACAACAUGUGCACAUCAUAUUUAAAAAUUAUGAAUAAAAUAAUCUAUUAUGAUAUCUACAA
This is a long non-coding RNA of Pleuronectes platessa (European plaice), 770 nucleotides long. RefSeq lists it as uncharacterized. NCBI's taxonomy places the organism in Eukaryota, Metazoa, Chordata, Actinopteri, Pleuronectiformes, Pleuronectidae. The record is from RefSeq and is a predicted model, not a curated record. The transcript has 2 exons.